GGUUAAGCGACUAAGCGUACACGGUGGAUGCCCUGGCAGUCAGAGGCGAUGAAGGACGUGCUAAUCUGCGAUAAGCGUCGGUGAGGUGAUAUGAACCGUUAUAACCGGCGAUUUCCGAAUGGGGAAACCCAGUGUGUUUCUACACACUAUCAUUAACUGAAUCCAUAGGUUAAUGAGGCGAACCGGGGGAACUGAAACAUCUAAGUACCCCGAGGAAAAGAAAUCAACCGAGAUUCCCCCAGUAGCGGCGAGCGAACGGGGAGGAGCCCAGAGCCUGAAUCAGUGUGUGUGUUAGUGGAAGCGUCUGGAAAGGCGUGCGAUACAGGGUGACAGCCCCGUACACAAAAAUGCACAUAUUGUGAGCUCGAUGAGUAGGGCGGGACACGUGGUAUCCUGUCUGAAUAUGGGGGGACCAUCCUCCAAGGCUAAAUACUCCUGACUGACCGAUAGUGAACCAGUACCGUGAGGGAAAGGCGAAAAGAACCCCGGCGAGGGGAGUGAAAAAGAACCUGAAACCGUGUACGUACAAGCAGUGGGAGCCUCUUAAUGGGGUGACUGCGUACCUUUUGUAUAAUGGGUCAGCGACUUAUAUUCUGUAGCAAGGUUAACCGAAUAGGGGAGCCGAAGGGAAACCGAGUCUUAACUGGGCGUUAAGUUGCAGGGUAUAGACCCGAAACCCGGUGAUCUAGCCAUGGGCAGGUUGAAGGUUGGGUAACACUAACUGGAGGACCGAACCGACUAAUGUUGAAAAAUUAGCGGAUGACUUGUGGCUGGGGGUGAAAGGCCAAUCAAACCGGGAGAUAGCUGGUUCUCCCCGAAAGCUAUUUAGGUAGCGCCUCGUGAAUUCAUCUCCGGGGGUAGAGCACUGUUUCGGCAAGGGGGUCAUCCCGACUUACCAACCCGAUGCAAACUGCGAAUACCGGAGAAUGUUAUCACGGGAGACACACGGCGGGUGCUAACGUCCGUCGUGAAGAGGGAAACAACCCAGACCGCCAGCUAAGGUCCCAAAGUCAUGGUUAAGUGGGAAACGAUGUGGGAAGGCCCAGACAGCCAGGAUGUUGGCUUAGAAGCAGCCAUCAUUUAAAGAAAGCGUAAUAGCUCACUGGUCGAGUCGGCCUGCGCGGAAGAUGUAACGGGGCUAAACCAUGCACCGAAGCUGCGGCAGCGACACUAUGUGUUGUUGGGUAGGGGAGCGUUCUGUAAGCCUGUGAAGGUGGCCUGUGAGGGUUGCUGGAGGUAUCAGAAGUGCGAAUGCUGACAUAAGUAACGAUAAAGCGGGUGAAAAGCCCGCUCGCCGGAAGACCAAGGGUUCCUGUCCAACGUUAAUCGGGGCAGGGUGAGUCGACCCCUAAGGCGAGGCCGAAAGGCGUAGUCGAUGGGAAACAGGUUAAUAUUCCUGUACUUGGUGUUACUGCGAAGGGGGGACGGAGAAGGCUAUGUUGGCCGGGCGACGGUUGUCCCGGUUUAAGCGUGUAGGCUGGUUUUCCAGGCAAAUCCGGAAAACCAAGGCUGAGGCGUGAUGACGAGGCACUACGGUGCUGAAGCGACAAAUGCCCUGCUUCCAGGAAAAGCCUCUAAGCAUCAGGUAACAUCAAAUCGUACCCCAAACCGACACAGGUGGUCAGGUAGAGAAUACCAAGGCGCUUGAGAGAACUCGGGUGAAGGAACUAGGCAAAAUGGUGCCGUAACUUCGGGAGAAGGCACGCUGAUAUGUAGGUGAAGCGACUUGCUCGUGGAGCUGAAAUCAGUCGAAGAUACCAGCUGGCUGCAACUGUUUAUUAAAAACACAGCACUGUGCAAACACGAAAGUGGACGUAUACGGUGUGACGCCUGCCCGGUGCCGGAAGGUUAAUUGAUGGGGUUAGCGGCAACGCGAAGCUCUUGAUCGAAGCCCCGGUAAACGGCGGCCGUAACUAUAACGGUCCUAAGGUAGCGAAAUUCCUUGUCGGGUAAGUUCCGACCUGCACGAAUGGCGUAAUGAUGGCCAGGCUGUCUCCACCCGAGACUCAGUGAAAUUGAACUCGCUGUGAAGAUGCAGUGUACCCGCGGCAAGACGGAAAGACCCCGUGAACCUUUACUAUAGCUUGACACUGAACAUUGAGCCUUGAUGUGUAGGAUAGGUGGGAGGCUUUGAAGUGUGGACGCCAGUCUGCAUGGAGCCGACCUUGAAAUACCACCCUUUAAUGUUUGAUGUUCUAACGUGGGCCCCUAAUCCGGGGUUGCGGACAGUGUCUGGUGGGUAGUUUGACUGGGGCGGUCUCCUCCUAAAGAGUAACGGAGGAGCACGAAGGUUGGCUAAUCCUGGUCGGACAUCAGGAGGUUAGUGCAAUGGCAUAAGCCAGCUUGACUGCGAGCGUGACGGCGCGAGCAGGUGCGAAAGCAGGUCAUAGUGAUCCGGUGGUUCUGAAUGGAAGGGCCAUCGCUCAACGGAUAAAAGGUACUCCGGGGAUAACAGGCUGAUACCGCCCAAGAGUUCAUAUCGACGGCGGUGUUUGGCACCUCGAUGUCGGCUCAUCACAUCCUGGGGCUGAAGUAGGUCCCAAGGGUAUGGCUGUUCGCCAUUUAAAGUGGUACGCGAGCUGGGUUUAGAACGUCGUGAGACAGUUCGGUCCCUAUCUGCCGUGGGCGCUGGAGAACUGAGGGGGGCUGCUCCUAGUACGAGAGGACCGGAGUGGACGCAUCACUGGUGUUCGGGUUGUCAUGCCAAUGGCACUGCCCGGUAGCUAAAUGCGGAAGAGAUAAGUGCUGAAAGCAUCUAAGCACGAAACUUGCCCCGAGAUGAGUUCUCCCUGACUCCUUGAGAGUCCUGAAGGAACGUUGAAGACGACGACGUUGAUAGGCCGGGUGUGUAAGCGCAGCGAUGCGUUGAGCUAACCGGUACUAAUGAACCGUGAGGCUUAACCUU
This 2905-nucleotide ribosomal RNA is filed under the name Escherichia coli. RNAcentral describes it as "23S ribosomal RNA". It matches the Rfam family "Bacterial large subunit ribosomal RNA". Lineage: Bacteria; Pseudomonadati; Pseudomonadota; Gammaproteobacteria; Enterobacterales; Enterobacteriaceae. The record is from RNAcentral.